GACGUAGGGGGCGAGCGUUGUCCGGAAUUACUGGGCGUAAAGAGCACGUAGGCGGGAAUUUAAGUCAGAUGUGAAAGACCGGGGCUCAACUCCGGGGUUGCAUUUGAAACUGGAUUUCUUGAGGGCAGGAGAGGAAAGCAGAAUUCCUGGUGUAGCGGUGAAAUGCGUAGAAAUCAGGAGGAAUACCAGUGGCGAAGGCGGCUUUCUGGACUGACCCUGACGCUGAGGUGCGAAAGCGUGGGUAGCAAACAGG
This 253-nucleotide ribosomal RNA is filed under the name uncultured bacterium. RNAcentral describes it as "partial 16S ribosomal RNA". It matches the Rfam family "Bacterial small subunit ribosomal RNA", at positions 524 to 776 of the family's 1533-position model. The record is from RNAcentral.